GCGGGAAUUCGAUUUUCCGGUUGAUCCUGCCGGACCUUACUGCUAUCGGGGUAGGACUAAGCCAUGCAAGUCGUGCGUCUCCUAGCUAUGUUGGAGACGCGGCACACCGCUCAGUAACACGUGGUUAACCUGCCCUUAGGACCGGGACAACCCCGGGAAACUGGGACUAAUCCCGGAUAGAUGAGGUUUCCUGAAAUGGUGCUUCGUUGAAAGGGCGUCAAGAGCAUGUUCUUGAUGUUGCCUAAGGAUGGGACCGCGUCCGAUCAGGUUGUUGGUGGGGUAACGGCUCACCAAGCCGAUAACCGGUACGGGCCCUGAGAGGGGGAGCCCGGAGAUGGAACCUGAGACAUUGUUCCAGGCCCUAUGGGGCGCAGCAGGCGCGAAACCUCCACAAUGCACGAAAGUGUGAUGGGGUUACCCCGAGUGCCUUCCGAUGAGGAGGGCUUUUAACUGGUGUAAGGAGCCAGUAGAAUAAGGGGGGGGCAAGAUUGGUGUCAGCCGCCGCGGUAAUACCAACCCCCCGAGUGGUAAGGACGAUUAUUUGGCUUAAAGCGUUCGUAGCCGGCUUGGAUAGUCUUCCGUUAAAUCCAGCGACUAAUCGUUGGGCUGCGGAAGAUACUUUCAAGCUAGGAGGCGGAAGAGGUCGGCGGUAUUCCUAGGGGAGGGGUGAAAUCCUAUAAUCCUAGGAGGACCACCAGUGGCGAAGGCGGCCGACCAGUACGCGCUCGACGGUGAGGGACGAAAGCUGGGGGAGCGAACCGGAUUAGAUACCCGGGUAGUCCCAGCCGUAAACUA
This 795-nucleotide ribosomal RNA is filed under the name uncultured archaeon. RNAcentral describes it as "bacterial SSU rRNA". It matches the Rfam family "Archaeal small subunit ribosomal RNA", at positions 1 to 760 of the family's 1478-position model. The record is from RNAcentral.